CCUACGGGGGACAGCAGUGGGGAAUAUUGCACAAUGGGCGAAAGCCUGAUCCAGCAACGCCGCGUGAAGGAUGAAGGGUUUCGGCUCGUAAACUUCUAUCAAUAGGGACGUAAGACAUGACGGUACCUGCAUAAGACGCCUCGGCUAACUACGUGCCAGCAGCCGCGGUAAUCCGUAGGGGGCAAGCGUUAUCCGGAAUUACUGGGUGUAAAGGGUGAGUAGGUGGCAUGGUAAGCCAGAUGUGAAAGUCUUGGGCUUAACCCGAGGAUUGCAUUUGGAACUAUCAGGCUAGAGUACAGGAGAGGAAGGCGGAAUUCGUAGUGUAGCGGUGAAAUGCGUAGAUAUUAGGAAGAACACCAGUGGCGAAGGCAGCUUACUGGACUGAAACUGACGCUGAGGCACGAAAGCGUGGGGAGCGAACAGGAUUAGAUACCCGUGUAGUC
RNAcentral lists this ribosomal RNA (443 nucleotides) under uncultured bacterium. RNAcentral's name for it is "partial 16S ribosomal RNA". It matches the Rfam family "Bacterial small subunit ribosomal RNA", at positions 338 to 795 of the family's 1533-position model. The record is from RNAcentral.